UCAACCAAGAAUAUAGAGAAAGAGCUUCUGCCCUGAGACUCAGAAAAAUAUUCUACACUGCUUCUGUUCAGUAUAGAUUUCUAGACCCUGAUCAUUGCUUAACAGAUUUUCACUGGGGGUCCUACGUCUCUGCAAUUUGUGUAUGAAUAACAGAAUAAUUUUCCUCUUUUGUUUCGCCUUUCCUGUUCCUGAAUCUAAAUAAAGAUGGCUUUUUAGUAUUAAAAGUGGAAGAAAAUUACAGGUAAUUAUCUUUGACGGUAAAAACGCUGUAAUCAGCGGGCUACAUGAAAAAUUACUCUAAUUAUGGCUGCAUUUAAGAGAAUGGAAAAAAAAAACCUUCUUGUGGAUAAAAACCUUAAAUUGUCCCCAAUGUCUGCUUCAAAUUGGAUGGCACUGCAGCUGGAGGCUUUGUUCAGAAUUGAUCCUGGGGAGCUCUGAACCCAAAGUUUCACAGUAGGAAGGGGGGAAAAAGAAAAGAAAACAUUUUUCUUAAUGUAACAAUACGAAUGGUAGAAAAUGACAAGACUGAUCGGUUUUAAACCAUUCUGAAGACUGACUGAGCGUGGAAGUUGCUCAACAAAAAAAAGGAACGGGUAUAUUGGAUCUCGGUAGAGAGUAAAAAACAAUGCUUAAAAUAAAACUGGAACAGAUAUCCCAGAGGGAUUCAUUAUCUACAAACUCUCUGGAGAAAAAUCUAAGCAGAAACCAGUGGUUGGGACUUUAAAAAAAGUUCUGAUGGACCGUGGAACCUACCGCCUGGCCCGAACUGCACCAGCCCCACUACCUAAUCUCAGCCCACUGGGAUAUUUACUGGGCUAUCUACACAUGAAGGGCCAGAUCCCAAGUCCAUUGAGAUGUGGCCUUCAGGAGAACCUCCUACACACCAGUGGAGUGCCUUCACCAGAUAAAGAAGUGACCAAGGAGGAGUAAGGAUGACAUGAAUCAAGAAGUGCUUCAAUCCUCAGAAUGCAGGGUGCAGACUUUAAAAGAAAAUUAUAAAAUAUACAGGCAGGACAGAAAGAAGAGCCAAGACUGAAAUUUAAUGGGUCAGGAGCAAAUUAUAAAAGUGAUGGUGGAGCAAAUGGAGAUGUUGAAGUCCCUAAUCCUGCUGCACACUGAAUUCAUGCAUGGUUCCCCGCCCCCGAAGCCGAUACAGAACUGCUUUCCAUGCCCUCCUGAAAUUCCUCCCAUAUAUUCCUUGCAAUUUCCUGGCCUGUCUACGUAUUCCAUUCAAUCCAUCCCUUCUGACAGCUCCAAGAUGAUAGCUGGACUCACACAUAGCUAAAAGAGCCUACACUGAUGUUCGUUAUUAUCUCCCUUCCCACCAAGCCUUUUGUGUUUGUUGUUAAUUAGUAUUUAAUAAA
This is a long non-coding RNA of Gopherus evgoodei (Goodes thornscrub tortoise), 1364 nucleotides long. RefSeq lists it as uncharacterized. NCBI's taxonomy places the organism in Eukaryota, Metazoa, Chordata, Testudines, Testudinidae. The transcript is spliced from 5 exons. The record is from RefSeq and is a predicted model, not a curated record.